GUGCCAGCCGCCGCGGUACUACCGGCAGCUCGAGUGAUGUCCAAUAUUAUUGGGCCUAAAGCGUCCGUAGCUGGCUGCGCAAGUCCGUCGGGAAAUCCACUCGCCCAACGAGUGGGCGUCCGACGGAAACUGCACAGCUUGGGACCGGAAGGCUCGAAGGGUACGUUCGGGGUAGGAGUGAAAUCCCAUAAUCCCGCACGGACCACCGAUGGCGAAAGCACUUCGAGAAAACGGACCCGACAGUGAGGGACGAAAGCUGGGAUCUCGAACCGGAUUAGAUACUCCAGUAGUCC
This 293-nucleotide ribosomal RNA is filed under the name uncultured bacterium. RNAcentral describes it as "partial 16S ribosomal RNA". It matches the Rfam family "Archaeal small subunit ribosomal RNA", at positions 455 to 747 of the family's 1478-position model. The record is from RNAcentral.